Molecule: long non-coding RNA, 695 nt
Filed under: Pan troglodytes (chimpanzee)
Lineage: Eukaryota; Metazoa; Chordata; Mammalia; Primates; Hominidae
Description: long non-coding RNA NONPTRT005197
Source: RNAcentral
GAGCCACCGCGCCCGGCCGGGAGUGCACUUUGUACAAACACCUGGAGAAACUGUUUGGCAGUGUGUUCUAAAGCUGAACCUACCCAAACCCUAAGACCUGGCAACUUCCAGCAAGCCUUCCAUGCUCUGGUUACCAUCUCUCCCAUCCCUCCUCCGCCAGAGGAAGAGGCUCAGCAAAUCCCACAGCACUCUUGCAGAUCUUCUGGUCAACCCGCUUCUUUCAUCGAAGGCAGCUCCAGCAGCUGACUUGCCAGACCCAACCUCUUAAGAAGACGCAGAUAAGCCCACAUGACCAAAGAGGGGUCUGCUUCUCUUGCAAGAAACAAAGUCACCUUUAAAAAGUUUGCAAACAACUUAAAUGGCAACAGGAGAGAAAAACCACCCAAGAGAAACAGCUGCUCUGGGGAGCCUAAGGGGGCGUUUCUAUUUCUCCUUCCUCUCUCAUUAGGAGGAGUGGAUCCACUGCUGAGUGAAGAGACUCCUGAUCUCACUGACACCAGAGCUGUCUUCUCUGUUCUCAACCCCAUCAUAUAUAACUGUCCCCUUCCUCAGAGGAACGAAACCACUGAAAUGGUGGGAGUGCCUAACCCACCCAUGACUGUAAGGCCCAAGUUUCAGAAUUUCUAAUAGGGACUGCAUGAGACUUAUUUUUGCACUGCUGCAAAGAAAUACCUGAGGCCGGGCAUGGAGGCUCA